Manihot esculenta (cassava) is the source of this 375-nucleotide long non-coding RNA. RefSeq lists it as uncharacterized. NCBI's taxonomy places the organism in Eukaryota, Viridiplantae, Streptophyta, Magnoliopsida, Malpighiales, Euphorbiaceae. The transcript is spliced from 2 exons. The record is from RefSeq and is a predicted model, not a curated record.
UAGCAGUGUCAGCCGUUUCAGAGUCGGCCCAGAGCUAGUCAGAGGUUUGCAGGGUCAGAGAUAGUCAGAAGAUCAGCAGGUUAUGUCUAUGGUCAGAUUCAUGUAAUAGAUUAGUAGUGGACAUGAUGUAAGGUAAAGAUAUGUAAUGAAAGGUAAAAUGUUAUGAUGUAAAUCAAUGUAAUGUAAUAGAUAGAGUUGUGCUUUGUCCUAGAAGUGUGGUUAAUCCCUUGUAUAUGGUCCUUAUGUAUGUCUUUAAUGAGACAGGAAAACCAAGCUUAUUUUAUGUUGCCCCAUUAGAGUUGAUGAUGAGAACUCUAGUGUUGGGGUUUAUGAUUAUGAGUUUGUGCAUGCACGGGUUAAGCUUGGUGUAUGAAA